UUCCGUAGGUGAACCUGNGGAAGGAUCAUUA
This 31-nucleotide ribosomal RNA is filed under the name Phyllactinia paliuri. RNAcentral describes it as "partial 18S ribosomal RNA". Lineage: Eukaryota; Fungi; Ascomycota; Leotiomycetes; Helotiales; Erysiphaceae. The record is from RNAcentral.